This 251-nucleotide ribosomal RNA is filed under the name uncultured bacterium. Its description in RNAcentral is "partial 16S ribosomal RNA". It matches the Rfam family "Bacterial small subunit ribosomal RNA", at positions 524 to 776 of the family's 1533-position model. The record is from RNAcentral.
UACGUAGGAUGCAAGCGUUGUCCGGAUUUACUGGGCGUAAAGCGCGCGCAGGCGGCACAUUAAGUAAGGUGUGAAAUAUCCCGGCUCAACCGGGAGGGUGCACUUUAGACUGAUGAGCUUGAGGUCGUAGAGGGGGUGGAAUUGCUGGUGUAGCGGUGAAAUGCGCAGAUAUCAGGAAGAACACCCGUGGCGAAGGCAGCUCGCUGGGACGUUACUGACGCUGAGACGCGAAAGCGUGGGGAGCAAACAGG